RNAcentral lists this ribosomal RNA (440 nucleotides) under uncultured bacterium. Its description in RNAcentral is "bacterial SSU rRNA". It matches the Rfam family "Bacterial small subunit ribosomal RNA", at positions 338 to 795 of the family's 1533-position model. The record is from RNAcentral.
CCUACGGGGGGCAGCAGUGGGGAAUAUUGCACAAUGGGGGAAACCCUGAUGCAGCAACGCCACGUGAGCGAUGAAGGCCUUCGGGUCGUAAAGCUCUGUCCUAAGGGAAGAAUACUGACGGUACCUUAGGAGGAAGCCCCGGCUAACUACGUGCCAGCAGCCGCGGUAAUACGUAGGGGGCUAGCGUUAUCCGGAAUUACUGGGCGUAAUGGGUGCGUAGGCGGCCCUUCAAGACAGAUGUGAAAGGAUACGGCUCAACUGUAGUAAGCCUUUGAAACUGUAGGGCUUGAGUGCAGGAGGGGAGAGUGGAAGUCCCAAUUUAGCGGUGAAAUGCGUAGAUAUUGGGAGGAACACCAGGUGCGAAUGCUGCGCUCUGAACUGUAACUGACGCUGAGGCACGAAAGCGUGUGGAGCGAACAGGAUUAGAUACCCCGGUAGUC